ACUAGUGCCUGGCAGGGGCGAUACCAUGAUCACGAAGGUGGUUUUCCCAGGGCGAGGCUUAUCCAUUGCAUUUGGAUGUGCUGACCUCUGAGAUUUUUCCCCAAAUGCGGGAAAUUUGACAGCAUAAUUUGUGGUAGUGGGGGGACUGUGUUCUCGAUCUCCCCCA
Molecule: small nuclear RNA, 166 nt
Organism: Cricetulus griseus (Chinese hamster)
Lineage: Eukaryota; Metazoa; Chordata; Mammalia; Rodentia; Cricetidae
Gene: U1
Rfam family: U1 spliceosomal RNA
About the family: U1 is a small nuclear RNA (snRNA) component of the spliceosome (involved in pre-mRNA splicing). Its 5' end forms complementary base pairs with the 5' splice junction, thus defining the 5' donor site of an intron. There are significant differences in sequence and secondary structure between metazoan and yeast U1 snRNAs, the latter being much longer (568 nucleotides as compared to 164 nucleotides in human).
Source: Ensembl